UAUUUUCAUGGAUUUCUGUACAUGAUAAGAGGAUUUUCCCUUCUGAAUCUCUUACCACAACUCCGGAGGCCGAGCGGUUCUGGCUUUUAUCGAAGGCCCCGUCAAAAUUGAUCUUAAUGAACCCUCCCUGUGGCCUUUUCCAUCUUAUUUUCCCCCCGAGUGCACAACAGAAGAGUCUACUGUGAUAAAGGUUAAGCUUCUCCAGCACCCAGCAGGACAGUCACGAAAAAGAUGAUUCAUUGUUUCAGCUCCUUCACCGCAACGGGGACAACUUUGGUUAACUGUUAACUUUCGAUGCUGAAGGUUCACCUUUGUAGGCAAAUAGUUCCACGAUAACCUCCAUAUUGUGACCUUUAUUUUUGUUGGUAGACUUAGGCUCCAAAGUUUUUUGUAAAAAUUUCUGUAGAUGGUUUGUAAAGCAUAAGCUCUAAGAUUGUCAAUCGAUCUCUGUAAUAGUUUGUAGGCGCUUCUGACCGUAAAUUCACCUGACAUCUCACCUUCCCAGAACAGAAAUUCUUCGUGCGGUGUUUGCACCAGAGGGAUUCUGAGGAUUCUUGCAGCAUCUUCUUCCGUAAAGGUGCAAUUUCUGUACAAUCAUGAAGACUGUGCCCCAACAUUCCACCCCCAAAGCAAAAAGUCUGCAGCUUUUCAUACUUGAAUGGAAUCCAAAAUUUAUUUCCAUUCCCUAUUGAAACAAAAAUACCCCUGUGAAGGGGUCUCUGUACAUUUAAUUUCACUCUAAGACGGCAAAACUCACCCAGUAUUUCAGAUCUGAGCACCCUUCCAAAAGUAACACCUACUGCAUGUAGCAGAUCUUUUUUGUCAAACUCUGGUAAGCAAGGCCCGAUUUUAAUCCAAAACGGAGAUGAAACAAGCCUGAUUUGAUCUCUCGCCAUUGAUUUACUCAAUCGAUCAAAAAGGAUUAAUUACUUCAUAAACAACCAUGGCUGACCUUCCAAGACCGUCUUUAAAUCCUCUUCUGAUUCAAACGAUAUCAUAAAAAGAUUUUGUCCUACCCCUUGAAUCCCAAAUUUCUUCUUUGUCUUCCAAAUGCUCAUCAUCUGUGCUUUGAAGCUCUCCUGAUUAUAAGAUUUCUUAGUCCAUAUAGAACAUAUUAGAGAAAACUUCCCGUUUGGUUCCACCAUCGAACUCUUUACCGAAAGUUGAAUAAGCUCCUCUGUUAAUAGGGAGAUCUCGUCUCCUCCCAACCCAUCGUUACCACCACUCUCCAUCAU
Gossypium raimondii (Peruvian cotton) is the source of this 1235-nucleotide long non-coding RNA. RefSeq lists it as uncharacterized. NCBI's taxonomy places the organism in Eukaryota, Viridiplantae, Streptophyta, Magnoliopsida, Malvales, Malvaceae. The transcript is spliced from 4 exons. The record is from RefSeq and is a predicted model, not a curated record.